ACCUGACACACAUAGAGCAUUUGUGCAGAGACUAAAAGAUUGAUCUGAGAAACCACUUCCUGGGAUGAAAUGAAAGCCAGGCAGAGAAUCCCAUACCCAAAUAUAAUCUAAAGGGGUUAAACUGAGAAAAAGAACACCGGUGAGACAAAGGGAUUUAAACUGGAGGAACAAGGAAAGAAAAAGUGCAUUCCUACUUACCUCAAGGGUUCUGUGCAAUGAAGUAGAAAAAGAACAGAAAGAAUUUCAGAGAGACUCAUCAGCAUCAUCACAGGGAUCCUUGAUGAAGCAGAUGGAAAAUACAGCAUGAACCCUAAUAAAAAUGCUUCCUGUGCCAAUCCUGAGACCACAGUGACUGUGGAACCUGAAUUAACAUAUGUCAUGAGAGGAAAGGAAGCUGAACAAAGAGCACAGUGAAGUGACUUGGCCUGACCUCAUUUCCUUACCUCAUGAGGACUUCGUCUGAAAGGUGAGCCCAGCGCAGCUGUGCAUAGCCAAUCCUUGGGAAACACAGAAAAAGGAAGGAGCCACAUUCCACACAAGCCCAGUGACACUAGACUCUCAGGAAUUUCUUGAGUCAAAUCAACUGUUCCCCCACUUUAAGGAAAAGGUGAUUCGGGAAGACGAGAAGGCUCUCUGAUACUGCCUUUCUCUUUGGGUGACUUCCUUUGGUCAGUCUUCACCCUGAUCCAGCAAUACCUUCCGGACAUGUCAGAUAGGGCUCACUGGCCUUUGAUACAGUUCAAUACUGCUAUUCCAUUUACUAUAAAUUAACAGGAAGAAGGUGAAGGAGUACAAGAGCCCGGCUUAUCUGCAGAAGAUGUGUUCUAAGAUCACCAGUGGAUGCCUGAAACUGCAGAUAGUACUGAAUCCUGUGUACAGUGUUUUUUUUCUAUACUAUAUGCCUAUAAUAAAGUUUAAUUUAUACAUUAGACAUAGUACUCUUGCACUUUGGGGCUAUCAUUAAGUAAGAUAAGG
This 975-nucleotide long non-coding RNA is filed under the name Homo sapiens (human). RNAcentral's name for it is "HSALNT0345387". Lineage: Eukaryota; Metazoa; Chordata; Mammalia; Primates; Hominidae. The record is from RNAcentral.